GCUAUCGGAUUGAUACUAAGCCAUGCGAGUCUUUGUAGUAAUACAAGGCAGACGGCUCAGUAACACGUAGUCAACCUACCCUAUGGACGAGAAUAAUCUCGGGAAACUGAGCAUAAUUCUUGAUAGAUCAUAAUGCCUGGAAUGGUUUAUGGUUAAAAUGAUUCGUCGCCAUAGGAUGGGACUGCGGCCUAUCAGCUUGUUGGUGAGGUAAUGGCCCACCAAGGCGAUCACAGGUACGGGCUCUGAGAGGAGAAGCCCGGAGAUGGGUACUGAGACACGGACCCAGGCCCUAUGGGGCGCAGCAGGCGAGAAAACUUUGCAAUGUGCGAAAGCACGACAAGGUUAAUCCGAGUGAUUUCUGCUAAAGAAAUCUUUUGUCAGUCGUAAAACCACUGGCGAAUAAGGGGUGGGCAAGUUCUGGUGUCAGCCGCCGCGGUAAAACCAGCACCUCAAGUGGUCAGGAUGAUUAUUGGGCCUAAAGCAUCCGUAGCCGGCUUUGUAAGUUUUCGGUUAAAUCCAUGUGCUCAACGCAUGGGCUGCCGAAAAUACUGCAUGGCUAGGGAGUGGGAGAGGUAGACGGUACUCAGUAGGAAGGGGUAAAAUCCUUUGAUCUAUUGAUGACCACCUGUGGCGAAGGCGGUCUACCAGAACACGUUCGACGGUGAGGGAUGAAAGCUGGGGGAGCAAACCGGAUUAGAUACCCGGGUAGUCCCAGCCGUAAACGAUGCAGACUCGAUGAUGCAUUGGCAUAAUAGCCAAUGCAGUGUCGCAGGGAAGCCGUUAAGUCUGCCGCCUGGGAAGUACGUACGCAAGUAUGAAACUUAAAGAAUUGGCGGGGAGCACCACAAGGGUGAAGCCUG
Molecule: ribosomal RNA, 860 nt
Filed under: uncultured marine group I thaumarchaeote
Lineage: Archaea; Thermoproteati; Nitrososphaerota
Description: SSU rRNA
Rfam family: Archaeal small subunit ribosomal RNA
Source: RNAcentral